RNAcentral lists this unclassified non-coding RNA (310 nucleotides) under plant metagenome. RNAcentral describes it as "partial contains 5.8S ribosomal RNA, internal transcribed spacer 2, and large subunit ribosomal RNA". The stretch from base 1 to 105 matches the Rfam family "5.8S ribosomal RNA", at positions 50 to 154 of the family's 154-position model. The record is from RNAcentral.
GAAAUGCGAUGAGUAGUGUGAACUGCAGAAUUCAGUGAAUCAUCGAAUCUUUGAACGCACAUUGCGCCCCUUGGUAUUCCAUGGGGCAUGCCUGUUCGAGCGUCAUUUGUACCCUCAAGCUCUGCUUGGUGUUGGGUGUUUGUCCCCGUCUCCGCGCGUGGACUCGCCCCAAAGUGAUUGGCAGCCGGCGUACUGGUCCCGGAGCGCAGCACAUGUCGCGCAAACGAGUGCCUUGGUACGGCGGCGUCCAUAAGCCCCUCUCUCACGCUCUUGACCUCGGAUCAGGUAGGGAUACCCGCUGAACUUAAGC